CGUGUAGGCGGUCCGCUAAGUCUGAUGUGAAAGCCCGGGGCUCACCCCCCGGAAGGGCAUUGGAAACUGGCGGACUCGAGUCCCGGAGAGGAAGGUGGAAUUCCUGGUGUAGCGGUGAAAUGCGUAGAUAUCAGGAGGAAUACCGGUGGCGAAGGCGGCCUUCUGGACGGUGACUGACGCUGAGACGCGAAAGCGUGGGGAGCAAACA
RNAcentral lists this ribosomal RNA (208 nucleotides) under uncultured bacterium. RNAcentral's name for it is "partial 16S ribosomal RNA". It matches the Rfam family "Bacterial small subunit ribosomal RNA", at positions 568 to 774 of the family's 1533-position model. The record is from RNAcentral.